UCAAACUUGGUCAUUUAGAGGAAGUAAAAGUCGUAACAAGGUAACCGUAGGUGAACCUGCGGUUGGAUCAUUAACAAAUCUAAACAAUUUGUUUAAUGAAAUUGGUUGAUUUAGUUAGUAAAGAGGGAUAUUAUCUUUUUUUUACUAGCUGAUCCCCAAUUUCAUUUUUCAACACCUGUGCAUUUAGGUGCACCUGUGUCUUGGUACAAUAUUUCCUAUAUUUCUAGGAAAUAUGUACCAUGAUUUUACACUCCAUUUAGUCAUAAAACCCAUUUUAUUUAUUUUAAAAUAAAUUGAAAAACAACUUUUGACAACGGAUCUCUUGGCUCUUGCAUCGAUGAAGAACGCAGC
RNAcentral lists this unclassified non-coding RNA (351 nucleotides) under uncultured fungus. RNAcentral describes it as "partial contains small subunit ribosomal RNA, internal transcribed spacer 1, and 5.8S ribosomal RNA". The stretch from base 1 to 73 matches the Rfam family "Eukaryotic small subunit ribosomal RNA", at positions 1759 to 1831 of the family's 1831-position model. Lineage: Eukaryota; Fungi. The record is from RNAcentral.